AGAACGAACGCUGGCGGCAGGCUUAACACAUGCAAGUCGAGCGCCCUGCAAGGGGAGCGGCGGACGGGUGAGUAACGCGUGGGAAUCUGCCUUUAGAUGGGGGAUAACGGGCCGAAAGGUCCGCUAAUACCGCAUAGGCCGCAAGGUUAAAGGAGUAAUCCGUCUAAAGAUGAGCCCGCGUCCGAUUAGCUAGUUGGUAGGGUAAAAGCCUACCAAGGCGACGAUCGGUAGCUGGUCUGAGAGGAUGAUCAGCCACAAUGGGACUGAGACACGGCCCAUACUCCUACGGGAGGCAGCAGUGGGGAAUUUUGUGCAAUGGGCGAAAGCCUGACACAGCGACACCGCGUGAGCGAAGAAGCCCUUUGGGGUGUAAAAGCUCUGUCAGCUGGAACGAAAAAAUGACGGUACCAGCAGAGGAAGCAUCGGCUAACUACGUGCCAGCAGCCGC
This 448-nucleotide ribosomal RNA is filed under the name uncultured bacterium. RNAcentral describes it as "SSU rRNA". It matches the Rfam family "Bacterial small subunit ribosomal RNA", at positions 26 to 518 of the family's 1533-position model. The record is from RNAcentral.